CAUAUCAAUAAGCGGAGGAAAAGAAACCAACAGGGAUUGCCUCAGUAACGGCGAGUGAAGCGGCAAAAGCUCAAAUUUGAAACCCUCGGGAUUGUAAUUUGAAGAUUUGGCAUUGGAGAAAGCUAACCCAAGUUACUUGGAAUAGUACGUCAUAGAGGGUGACAACCCCGUCUGGCUAACCGUUCUCCAUGUAUUGCCUUAUCAAAGAGUCGAGUUGUUUGGGAAUGCAGCUCAAAGUGGGUGGUAAACUCCAUCUAAAGCUAAAUACUGGUGAGAGACCGAUAGCGAACAAGUACUGUGAAGGAAAGGUGAAAAGAACUUUGAAAAGAGAGUGAAAUAGUAUGUGAAAUUGUUGAUAGGGAAGGAAAUGAGCGGAGAGUGGUUGAGGUUUCAGCCUCCCUUUGGGGUGGUGUACUGCCGACGCCGAGUCAUUGUCCGCGAGACGGGGGUUAUAAACGGGUUGCAUUCUUGCCUCUCACCUAACCCCCCUACUGCAGUCAACGACAUAAUCCGCCCAUUUCACCCGUCUUGAAACACGGACCAAGGAGUCUAAUGGAUAUGUGAGUGUUAGGGUGCUAAACCCCAGCGCGCAAUGAAAGUGAAUGAUUCGUUCAGAAUCGACCGAACUUGAUUUUUAUGACAGUUUUGAGUAAACACAUCCAUUGGGACCCGAAAGAUGGUGAACUAUGCCUGAAUAGGGUGAAGUCAGAGGAAACUCUGAUGGAGGCUCGUAGCGGUUCUGACGUGCAAAUCGAUCGUAGAAUUUGGGUAUAGGGGCGAAAGACUAAUCGAACCAUCUAGUAGCUGGUUCCUGC
RNAcentral lists this ribosomal RNA (815 nucleotides) under uncultured Yarrowia. RNAcentral describes it as "LSU rRNA". It matches the Rfam family "Eukaryotic large subunit ribosomal RNA", at positions 39 to 961 of the family's 3401-position model. The record is from RNAcentral. Lineage: Eukaryota; Fungi; Ascomycota; Dipodascomycetes; Dipodascales; Dipodascaceae.